Molecule: long non-coding RNA, 1707 nt
Organism: Camelus dromedarius (Arabian camel)
Lineage: Eukaryota; Metazoa; Chordata; Mammalia; Artiodactyla; Camelidae
Exons: 3
Source: RefSeq, a predicted model, not a curated record
GAUGAUGUGGCCUUGCGAACAUGCCUCGUCCUCCAGGACAUGACGCAGGCUUGGGGAUUUUACGUGUGCUGGGGGAGAUGUCGUGGGCUCGGGGAGUCGAUGUGGGUUUCAAGAGAUGUUGCAGGCUUGGGGAGAUGAUGUGAUCUUGGGGAGAUACGGGCUUGGGGAGAUGAUGUGGGCUUUAGGAGAUUAUGUGGGCUCGGGGAGUUGUGUGCUUGGGGAGAUGACUCGGGCUCGAGGAGAUGAUGCUGGUUCGUGGAAAUGACGUGGUCUCACUGAUAUGACAUGGGGCUCGUGGAAAUGACGUGGACUUAGGGACAUGAUGCGGGCUCAGGGAGAUGACAUGGGCUUGGGGACAUGACUUGGGCAUGAGGACAUGAUGUGGGCUCGGGGACAUGAUCUAGGCUCAGGGAGAUGUGUUCUUGAGGCAAUGAUGCAGGUGGGGAGCUGAUGCGGGCUUGGGGAGAUGUGUGGGCUUGGGGAGAUGUGGGUUCAGGAGAUGCAAGUUUCGAGGGAGAUGAGAGGCCAUGCUACUCUUGGGGCCUGAUCUUAGUGUCUGAAGAAGACGGAGACCACCGUGGGCUCAGAAACUCCAGAGGCCAUCCCACCAGCAUUGUCUAAGCCUGGGCAGAGUUACUUCCCAAACUCUGAGGUUUUUCUGAGAGGUUCUCCAGUAGCUGGGACAGAACAUGCUUAAAGGAGCUAUAGCAGAAUGGAAGCAUGGAGUUGCUUUCUGCUGUCACCCCACCACGUCCCGCUCCCCCACUGCACAGGUGAUGUGGGGUUCUGCCCGUGUGGUCCGGGGAGCCUGAAAACACAGCAGCUUGAGGAAGUGAAGGAACAAUCUCUUUUUCUCUCCCUGUGAAGACCCAGAUGGAAGUGGAAAAAGGUGACUGUGUCCAGCAACUGGCCAUUAUGUGACAAUAAGGAGGACAUUCAGCCUCACAGGAGGCCUGCAGGGAGUCACUGCAGAGCAGCAAAUGCAGGAAGGAGGCUGAGCUAGCCUCAGCAGGGAUGAAAAUUUCAUCUCAGUGUCAUGUCGAAAGAGAUGUGCAGACCAGCCGGUGAGGCAGGGGCCAAGAAAGUUGUAACAAGAAGUCUGAUCACUCCAGGCGAUUCAUAUGAGGUGAUCAAAGCAAGAUAACAGCCACUUUCUGGAAGUGGAGCUGGACAGAGACCACACAACCCUGCCAUCUGCCAAGUCAUCAGGCUCAACUCCCGACUGCUGCUGGGUGUUUGUGCCCUGGAGAUGGGGAAGAGGAAGCACCUGCUCCUUCAUGGACUCAGACCAGGCAGCAGCCUGGCCACCCAUAGCAGAGAUUCAGGGUAAACAGCCUGAGCAGUGUCCAUCCUCCAGCAACAACAUCAAAUUAUUUUGUGUCCUCCUGGUCCUGUGCUUUUGCAUAAGAUACCUCCUAUGCCUGGAAUUUCUCCCUACUCCUUAAACUGGGGAAAGUGAAUUUAUCUUUUAAUCUCAAGUGUAACCUUCUCCCUCCACCACGUGGGUAAGGUGUCCUUCCUCUGUGCUCCUAAAAUAGUCAUACUGUAGUAAAGUUACAUAUAUGUGUAUCAGCUCAAUGGACUGAGCAUCCCUUGAGGACAUAAAUUCUUUUUCCAUCUCUGUAUCCCCAGAAAUGCCUUACACCUUGUGCUCAGUACAUAAAUGUUGAUGAGCAAAUAUGUAAAUCAAUGAAUAAAAGAAUGAAA